This 70-nucleotide transfer RNA is filed under the name Xyloredo nooi. Its description in RNAcentral is "tRNA-Thr". Lineage: Eukaryota; Metazoa; Mollusca; Bivalvia; Myida; Pholadidae. The record is from RNAcentral.
UGUUAGGUAGUUUAAAAUAGAACAAGGGUCUUGUAAGCUUUAGGUGUUGGCUUUUAUGCCGCUCUAACAA